This 485-nucleotide ribosomal RNA is filed under the name uncultured bacterium. Its description in RNAcentral is "partial 16S ribosomal RNA". It matches the Rfam family "Bacterial small subunit ribosomal RNA", at positions 30 to 507 of the family's 1533-position model. The record is from RNAcentral.
AUUGAACGCUGGCGGCAGGCUUAACACAUGCAAGUCGAGCGGAGAUGAGGUGCUUGCACCUUAUCUUAGCGGCGGACGGGUGAGUAAUGCUUAGGAAUCUGCCAUUUAGUGGGGGACAACAUUCCGAAAGGAAUGCUAGUACCGCAUACGUCCUACGGGAGAAAGCAGGGGAUCUUCGGACCUUGCGCUAAAUGAUGAGCCUAAGUCGGAUUAGCUAGUUGGUGGGGUAAAGGCCUACCAAGGCGACGAUCUGUAGCGGGUCUGAGAGGAUGAUCCGCCACACUGGGACUGAGACACGGCCCAGACUCCUACGGGAGGCAGCAGUGGGGAAUAUUGGACAAUGGGGGGAACCCUGAUCCAGCCAUGCCGCGUGUGUGAAGAAGGCCUUAUGGUUGUAAAGCACUUUAAGCGAGGAGGAGGCUACUGAGACUAAUACUCUUGGAUAGUGGACGUUACUCGCAGAAUAAGCACCGGCUAACUCUGUG